UUAGAACGUCGUGAGACAGUUCGGUCCCUAUCUGCCGUGGGCGCUGGAGAACUGAGGGGGGCUGCUCCUAGUACGAGAGGACCGGAGUGGACGCAUCACUGGUGUUCGGGUUGUCAUGCCAAUGGCACUGCCCGGUAGCUAAAUGCGGAAGAGAUAAGUGCUGAAAGCAUCUAAGCACGAAACUUGCCCCGAGAUGAGUUCUCCCUGAGACUUUAGGUCUCCUGAAGGAACGUUGAAGACGACGACGUUGAUAGGCCGGGUGUGUAAGCGCAGCGAUGCGUUGAGCUAACCGGUACUAAUGAACCGUGAGGCUUAACCUUACAACGCCGAAG
This 332-nucleotide ribosomal RNA is filed under the name Salmonella enterica subsp. enterica serovar Senftenberg. RNAcentral describes it as "bacterial LSU rRNA". It matches the Rfam family "Bacterial large subunit ribosomal RNA", at positions 2611 to 2925 of the family's 2925-position model. The record is from RNAcentral. Lineage: Bacteria; Pseudomonadati; Pseudomonadota; Gammaproteobacteria; Enterobacterales; Enterobacteriaceae.